GCAGCGAUGCCCGAGUGGUCUAAGGGGGCAGAUUUAAGUUGGCUGAAAGGUUAAUGAAACUCUGCUGUUGAUAAACGCGCGAGUUCGAACCUCGCUCGCUGCA
RNAcentral lists this transfer RNA (103 nucleotides) under Schizosaccharomyces japonicus. RNAcentral describes it as "SJAG_16075.1". It matches the Rfam family "tRNA". From Rfam's summary of the family: Transfer RNA (tRNA) molecules are approximately 80 nucleotides in length. Their secondary structure includes four short double-helical elements and three loops (D, anti-codon, and T loops). Further hydrogen bonds mediate the characteristic L-shaped molecular structure. tRNAs have two regions of fundamental functional importance: the anti-codon, which is responsible for specific mRNA codon recognition, and the 3' end, to which the tRNAs corresponding amino acid is attached (by aminoacyl-tRNA synthetases). tRNAs cope with the degeneracy of the genetic code in two manners: having more than one tRNA (with a specific anti-codon) for a particular amino acid; and 'wobble' base-pairing, i.e. permitting non-standard base-pairing at the 3rd anti-codon position. RNAcentral also lists the same sequence under 1 other name. Lineage: Eukaryota; Fungi; Ascomycota; Schizosaccharomycetes; Schizosaccharomycetales; Schizosaccharomycetaceae. The record is from RNAcentral.